Long non-coding RNA from Lynx canadensis (Canada lynx), 1632 nucleotides. RefSeq lists it as uncharacterized. The record is from RefSeq and is a predicted model, not a curated record. The transcript is spliced from 3 exons. Lineage: Eukaryota; Metazoa; Chordata; Mammalia; Carnivora; Felidae.
GGCCGGGGCCCCGCGCAUCCUCUUCCGCAGGCGCGGCGCGCCCCGCCCCGACAGGUGCGCCGUGUCCUCCCACAACUGUGCGAACCGGGGCUGAGGGAGGCAUUAUGGAAGAUCGCAGGUGCCCAAAGACUGAGAUGAGCCAAGGGGACCUUUCCUGGGUCCCUGUACAGCCAUCAUAAGGGUGAUCUGCAGGAAAACACUUUGGUCUCAUCCAGCUGUAAGCGCGUUGCCCCCGCCAAACCCACAAAUCUACAGCCUUGUCCAUUAGGGCCCGUGAUUGGCUUCUGCUCGUUUGCCAACCCGAAGCUUUGCUCAUUUCUGUGCUGCCGGCAGCUACGAGACGCUCCAGGCGACAUCACCGGGGGCCAGGUGUGCCCAGAACCCUCCGAAGGAAGCCGGAAGAGAAGAGCAACCCCCCCCCCCCCCACCCACCACCGGCAUCUUGCGGCCCAGACGGUGUCUGUGGCUUCUGAAUUGUCAAAGAGCACCGUGGGGCUCUCUUCGCCAAGCUCUUUUUUUUUCAUCUUCCUAAACUGUGGGGUGGGCAGGAGUCAGGGUUAACUCAGCCCGCUUCACUUCACAGACAUGGAAAGUGAGGCCCAGAAAGAUGAAUGACUCACGAGAGAGGUCUGUGGAGUUAGGAAGAAAAUCACGUGGCGGGUUCUAUUUUCAGAACGACUCGCCAAGUCAGCUCUGCUCGUUCACUCUGCUCUUUGCACCGGGAGGGGAGGGGGAGAGCAGGUGUUGUGGAUUUGCAGCCACAAGUCGAGUUUUUCACCCCCAGACAUGAGAAAGCUCAGCGCUUUUUCUCCCCUAAGGACGGGCUUUGUGACGUCCGCAUGAAGUAGCUACAAACAGUAUGUUUGUUUUUCUAUUGCUGCGGUGACAACUUACCACCAUUGAGUGACGAAAGCAAUGCAAACGUAUUAUCUUACAGUCCUAUGGGUCAGAGGUCCAGCGUGGGUCUCCCUGGGCUAAAACCACAGGGUUGCAGGGCGGCUACGUUCCUUUCCAGGGCAGCCCUUUUCUGGCUCAUUCGGGUGCCUCAGGAAGUCAGUUCCUUGUGGUUUAGGACUGAGAUCCCCGUUCCCUGGCUGGCUGUCCGCUGAGGGCCAUUCGCAGCUUCCAGAAGCUACCACAUUCCCUGGCAUAUGGUCCCUUUCCUCAGUCUUCAAAGCCAGCCACAGAGGGUUGAGUGCUUUGAUCUCGCCUCCGUUUUGGGGUUCAUGUUUCUGACCCUUCUGGGAAAGGGCCUCUACUUUUUAGAACCCAUAUAUUAGAUUGGGCACACUUGGAUAACCCAGGAUCACCUCCCAUCUCAGAGUCCGUAUCCUUAGGCACAUCCGCAAAGUCUCUUUUGCCGUGUAAGGUGACAUGAGCACAGGUUCCAGACAUUAGGGCCUGGACAUCUUCAGGGAGUCAUUAUUCUGCCUACCGCCAACUAGAACUUUCCAGACUCCUAAACCCUCUUGAUUGUCCAGGAUCUUUACCACAUGACUUUUUACAAAUACCUUCAUUAAAAUAUAAUUCACAUACUAUAUAGUUUACUCAUUUAAAGCGUACAAUUCAGGGGCACCUGGGGGGUUGGGUCAGUUAAGCAUCUGACCCUUGGUUUUGGCUCAGGUUACAAUC